Long non-coding RNA from Pyrgilauda ruficollis (rufous-necked snowfinch), 1937 nucleotides. RefSeq lists it as uncharacterized. The transcript is spliced from 5 exons. Lineage: Eukaryota; Metazoa; Chordata; Aves; Passeriformes; Passeridae. The record is from RefSeq and is a predicted model, not a curated record.
AAACCCCUCUGAAGGCAGCAGCAGGGCUCAGCCCCGCCGCCUGCCCGGAAAUCCAGGACACAAAGCAAGGCCGGUAACACAACGCCUGUAACGCAGCAAAGUCGCUGGAAGGAGCCCAAAAGCCGUGUCUAAUGCUAAUAAUAAGCGUAUUUCCCAAAGCUGGGGGAGGGCCCCGGCUGCCCCGUGAGCGUUUGCAAUCAAUGCAGAUAAUGCACUUGGAAGUGCUCUCUCCUUUACUGGUUUUCCGUAAAUUGCUGGGCACAGCUUCCCAGGGAUAAUGGCAGAGCUGUGCCUGUGCCAGCAAGGAUUGACUUCCAAAUGAAAAAGGAGAGUGCAGCUCCUUGGGAUGGUUUAGUCUGGGAGCUCCCCCGGGGUUCCACCUCUUCCCGUGGAACAGAGCGUUCCUCCCUUCCCUGGAGUUUAUCCCAAAGACACAACGAACCCAAACAUCCUCCUCCUCCUCCUCCUCCUGGAAGUGCCAGCUCAGGGAGGUCUGGAGUCCCCAGCCCUGGAUGCUGAGCUUCCAGAAUCCUGGAAUGGUUUGGCUUGGAAGGCACCUCAAAGCUCUCCUCAUCCUCCACAUCGUCCCAGCUGUCCAAGGAAUUCUGGAUGUGGCACUCAGGUGACAAGGAGGAAAUCUUGAUGGGAUGUCGAGUCAGGACCUCGUAAUUCUUAUUUGAAGGACCAUUAAAAUGGAAAUAUUUUCUGAAAUGCAGCACAGGCGAGGAUCUGAGCUGCAGAGAAAAUGCUGCAGGUGAAACUUCUCCUGAAAAACCCUCCCCAGUCCAGAGGUGAGUGAGUGAUGAGCCAAAAAAAGAGGAUUUCGAGACAACGUGACUCCAGCAGGCCAUGAGAACAAUGAGAAGUUCAAAAAUAGCACUAUUGACUGCUGGAAAAACAACAUACAUAUAAUUUUCAGGCUUUGCUUAUUAAGAAUCAUUUACUAUCUGUGGAAACAACUUCUGACUUAAGCACUGGGGCCUUAAAAAAUCACUUUUAAUUGGAAUGAGAGAGUUCCUCCCAGUGAAACCCUGGGUUUGUUGAUGCUGGAAGUGUGGAGAGUGCAAUUAAAAGCCUCCCUCACCUCUGUGAUGACAUUUUGGAAAUAAAUGCAGCUUUCUGGAGUUUUUCUCCUCAGGUUUGAAUAGUUUUUGGCCAACUUGAAGCUUCUGGAGGAUCUGAUGUUUUAAGUCUUGCCUGGCUUUGAAUUUCUCAGCUCCCCCGGACCUGCUGUGGUUGCUUUUUAUUCUUUCUUCUCGUGCUGCAUCCACAAAUUAUGAAAAUGGGUGCUAAUGACCAAAAAAAAAAAAAAAAAAAAUCCCAAUUGUGAUUCAUGGAAAUGGAAUUUUGUUGACAAAAAAAAGGGGAUUUAACUCGGCCAAAGGAAAUGCUUUUCCAACUGGAGAUGAAUAUCUCAGGAAUGACCAUUUCUUCUCAGAGACAGAACCAUUCCAGUUUUAAUUUCAGAAAAAAUGAAAUAAAUAGAAUAAUUCAAAUAAAAGCCUGGAGAAAAGCAAGCAGAUCCACCCAACAGGGGCAGUUUUUCCAGGGAAAGAAGUCCCAGGAGUGAAUUUGAGCUAUCUCACCCUGCCCCCUCCCCAAACCAGCCUUUCAGACAGCGAGAGAAAUCUUCAUCACACGCAGUGCUGCUCAUCAGCCUCCUCUAAUUGCUGCUCAUUUUCCGAGCGCUUCGUUUGAACGCGGCAGAGCUCCAGGAGAAGAGCGGGCAUUGGAAUUGGGAUGAGGGGUGAAGGAAGAGGGGUGUCAGCCAGGAGUUUCCUGCCAGGCUGGAGAAGAUUUCUGGGUGAAACGGUGGGAAAUGAAAAGUUUGGAAAGAGAUGUGAGUGCUGUGCUUUGCUCAGCGCAUCAGACUUCAUUAUAUCCUUACCACAAACAGGAUGCCAUCAAAAAUCUGCUUAUUAAACACAUAAUUUAUA